CCUACGGGGGGCAGCAGUGAGGAAUAUUGGUCAAUGGGCGAGAGUCUGAACCAGCCAAGUAGCGUGAAGGAUGACUGCCCUAUGGGUUGUAAACUUCUUUUAUAUGGGAAUAAAAUGUUCCACGCGUGGGAUUUUGUAUGUACCAUACGAAUAAGGAUCGGCUAACUCCGUGCCAGCAGCCGCGGUAAUACGGAGGGUGCGAGCGUUAAUCGGAAUUACUGGGCGUAAAGCGCUCGUAGGCGGUAUGUGAAGUCAAGGGUGAAACCUCCGGGCUCAACGUGGGAACUGCCGUUGAAACUGGCAGACUUGAGUGUGUGAGAGGAUAGUGGAAUUCGAGGUGUAGGAGUGAAAUCCGUAGAUAUCUCGAGGAACAUCAGUGGCGAAGGCGGCUAUCUGGCACAUAACUGACGCUGAGGAGCGAAAGCGUGGGUAGCAAACAGGAUUAGAUACCCCUGUAGUC
This 460-nucleotide ribosomal RNA is filed under the name uncultured bacterium. Its description in RNAcentral is "partial 16S ribosomal RNA". It matches the Rfam family "Bacterial small subunit ribosomal RNA", at positions 338 to 795 of the family's 1533-position model. The record is from RNAcentral.